UUCAUGAGAUCUUCCAGUCCGGAUUGAGCCUUGGUAUGGAAACCUACUAAGUGGUAACUUUCAAAUUUAGAGAAACCCCAAAAUUAAUAAAAAUUGGAAAUCCUGAGCCAAAUCCUAUUUUCCCAAAAAAAAGGACAGGAAAGAAAAAAGGAUAGGUAUAGAGACUCAAUGGAAGUUGUUCUAACAAAUAGAGUGGACUGCGUUGGUAGAGGAAUCUUUCUAUUGAAACUUCAGAAAGGAUGAAGGAUAAACGUAUAUAUUGAAUGCUAUAUCAAAUGAUUAAUGACGACUCGAAUCUCUAUUUAUAUUUUUUUUAUAUGGAAAAUGGAAGAUUUGAUUCCACAUUGAAGAAAGAAUCGAAUAUUCAUUGAUCAAAUCACUCCAUACUCUGACAGAUCUUUUAAAGAACUGAUUAAUUGGACGAGAAUAAAGAUAGAGUCUCAUUCUACAUGUCAAUUCCGG
RNAcentral lists this non-coding RNA (462 nucleotides) under Olea europaea subsp. europaea. It matches the Rfam family "Group I catalytic intron". Rfam says of the family: Group I catalytic introns are large self-splicing ribozymes. They catalyse their own excision from mRNA, tRNA and rRNA precursors in a wide range of organisms. The record is from RNAcentral. Lineage: Eukaryota; Viridiplantae; Streptophyta; Magnoliopsida; Lamiales; Oleaceae.